This 535-nucleotide unclassified non-coding RNA is filed under the name Anelosimus eximius. RNAcentral describes it as "partial contains 16S ribosomal RNA and tRNA-Leu (trnL)". The stretch from base 230 to 389 matches the Rfam family "Archaeal large subunit ribosomal RNA", at positions 2542 to 2701 of the family's 2987-position model. The record is from RNAcentral. Lineage: Eukaryota; Metazoa; Arthropoda; Arachnida; Araneae; Theridiidae.
UUUGUUUUUUAAUUAAAAACUAGAAUGAAAGGUUAUACAUUUAAAUUUCUUUAUUAAUUUCUUAUAUAUAAUUUAUAUUAAAUAUAAAAAUAUAUUUUUUAAAUAAAAUAGACGAUAAGACCCUAUUAAAUUUUACUUAUAGUUUAACUGGGGAAGUUUUAAAAAUAAAAUUUUUUAUAAAAAUAAAAAUAAAUCUAAUAAAAUUAAAAUUAAAUUAAAUUACUAUAGGGAUAACAGCAUUAUAUUUUUUAAAAGUUCAUAUUAAAAAAAAUGAUUGUGACCUCGAUGUUGAAUUAUAUUUUCUUUAUUAAUGCAAUAAUUAUAAAAGUAGAUCUGUUCGAUCUUUAAAAUAUUACAUGAUUUGAGUUCAAACCGGUGUAAACCAGGUUGGUUUCUAUCUUUUUAUAAAUUCAUAUAUAUAUAUAUAUAUAUAUAUAUACAUAAAUUUUUCAAGUACGAAAGGAAAAAAAAAUUUUUAUUUUAAUUAAUUAGCAAUUAAUAUGCAUUAGAUUUAGAAUCUAAAUAAACUAUUAUU